UUGGGUAAAAGGGUAAAAGAUUGAAGUUCAUCUCUCUCACGCCGGUUUCUCUGCAACAGCGAUAUCGCUCUUACGCUGCCGUCUUUGGAUUUGCGUCUUGCCUCUCAUGUCGGUCUUCAUCACCUUCGUCUCUAUCCUUUGUCUUUUAUCAAUUCAACCUAUCUCUCUCUUCUGAUAUCAAUUUGGAAAAAUGGAAAUGGACUUAAGUGGUAUGAUUUAGUCAAAUGGAAUAGACAAAAGGGGGGCUGGUGUUACUUUUGGAAUAUGGGCAGAAAAUCAAGUGUAAAGCUUAAGAAAAGGGAUUACGACAAUCUUUCUCUGCUUGCACAUUGAUAAUGUAGUAGAACUCAUAGAAGAACUUUGCCACUUUGGAGUUGUUAAGACACAUGUAGUGAGACCUAAAGGAAAAUGCCAAGCUACUAUAGUUUGGCUGGAUGGUCUUGGUGAUAAUGGUUUGAGGUGGCUGACAACAGGUAGCUUGAUCUUCGAUGAUGGUCGAGAAAAAAGGGGGUUGUACCUGCAAGGCACUCUGAUGCCAAAGUAAGAAGGAAAACAAAGUUACAAUAGAAAAUAUGAGAGUUUGGAUAAAGUUUGAAUUAUCUUUCCCUCUAGAGGUAGAGGGCUAUUUAUAGUGUUAUCCUUAAUGUAGAUUGGGUCAUGUUAUAUUUGUGGGUCUGGGCGUAAAUCCAGGGCCCAAAAUAUAGGAAACUGUUGACUAGGUCUUAACUGGCCGGACGUAAGGAACUAGCCGUUGCCGAAGGAAGCCAAGCGUGCUCGGAUAGUCCUCAGUUAUGGGAGGCUUAAAGGUUAGUCGUGCCCGGUCGAAGGGGAUAUGUCCUCCAACUAGCUCUAUGGAUUGGACCAAUGCUUAUUGGACCGUUUAUACCUAAGAGGGAUUUGGGCCAAUUGAAAUAAUUGGCAUAAUCCAUAAUAUGGAUGUUGAUUUGAUGAAUAUUUUAAACAUCACUUAACUAAGUUUAUGGUGACUCUCUAUUUAUGUUAGGUAGCUUUUAUCCAUUACAUCUUUUUUAUAAAAUUAAAAUCAUAAUAUUAAAAUACGGGUUGAACUAAAAAAUACACCAGACUCAUUUUUCUUUAGCCCAUUAAACAAUCGGGUCGGACCAGCCCAUUUAAACAUCUUGGCCCACCAACCCGAAGCGGGUUAGGACGAGCCGAAGCAGGUUGGACCAAAUCGGCCUAUUUGACAAUUCUAAUUACCAUGUCUUUGUUUUGUAGAUAAAAAUUGAAAUAAAUGAUAUAUAUUUUUUUUUACAUAAUUAAUAACCUACAUCUUAUUUAUAAUUUUUAUUAAAAAAUUGUGUAUAUUAAAUAAAGAGUUAAAUAUGUUGGUGGUUUUCCUAAAUAUCUCAUAUUUCACUUUUAGUUUUAAAAAAAAAAUUCUUUAAAGAAUGGUUCUCCUAAAAAUUUCCAUCCACAUAUUUUAUCCCUCCCGUAACUUAGCGACUGUUUUUACAACUUAACAACCGAAUUAGCGACAGUUUUAGCGACAAUUUCUACUUAACGACUGAAUUAGCGAUAGAUUUAACAGGAGGGACCAAAAGUGUGGAUGAAAUUUUUUAAGAAGACUAUUAUUAGAAGAAAUUUUUAUAGAGACUAAAAUCACAUUUAAAUUAUUUAUAAGGAUGAAAAAUAUAGUUAACCU
Molecule: long non-coding RNA, 1663 nt
Organism: Vicia villosa (hairy vetch)
Lineage: Eukaryota; Viridiplantae; Streptophyta; Magnoliopsida; Fabales; Fabaceae
Exons: 5
Source: RefSeq, a predicted model, not a curated record